This is an RNA transcript of Austrofundulus limnaeus, 2648 nucleotides long. It is a transcript of the gene named scavenger receptor class B, member 1, with no coding region annotated. The record is from RefSeq and is a predicted model, not a curated record. The transcript has 15 exons. Lineage: Eukaryota; Metazoa; Chordata; Actinopteri; Cyprinodontiformes; Rivulidae.
AAUAUGAAUCAGAACUGGUCACCGGGAAAACAGCUGUUUUUCAGCGACAUCAGAGCCGCUCCUCACCUGCUCAGGUGUUGGUUCAGAUAUUUAUCAGUUUUUUUUGACAGCGGAGCGGCUUUAAACCCAAACAAAGAGAUUUAAACCCUGACGGAGCGAACCACCGGCUUCAGUAUGGCUUUCAAUAAAUCCAAUGUAUCCGCGGUUUUCAUCGUUCUCGGGGUGCUCGCGGUGUUCUUUGGCAUAGUUCUGGUCUUUGUGGGACCGAUAGUCAUCGAUGACCAGGUAGUAAAGAACACAAUGAUUGAUCCAAAUAAUGAGCUCUCCUACACCAUGUGGAAGGACCUCCCAGUGCCCUUCUUCAUGUCGGUCUACUUCUUCAACGUGCUGAAUCCUGAGGAGAUCCUGAAAGGAGAGAAGCCCAUGGUGGAGGAGAGAGGGCCUUACGUGUACAGAAAGAAGUGUCAGAAGGAAAAUAUCACUUUUCACCCCAACGGGACCGUGUCCUACAUAGAGUUCAGAAAAUACUUCUUCGAGCGCUCCAUGUCUGUAGGAAACGAGUCGGACAUCGUCACUAUUCCCAACAUGCUGGUUCUGGGUGCAUCAGUGAUGAUGCAGGACAUGCCCUACGUGCUACGUUUGUUGGUCAGCUCCACCUUCAAGAACUUCAAGGAGGGUCCCUUCCUGACCAAGACGGUGGGAGAGUUGAUGUGGGGUUAUGAGAGUAAACUAGUUGAAUUCCUUAACCGGUACCUGCCUGGCAUGUUGCCCACAUCAGGAAAGUUUGGCCUAUUUGUAGAAUUCAACAACUCUAACACUGGGCUGUUCACUGUCCACACUGGGAAAGAUGACAUCAGAAAAGUCCACAAAGUUGACUCCUGGAAUGGCCUCCGAGAGUUGACCUACUGGGGUACUCCUCAGUGUAACAUGAUCAAUGGAACAGCUGGACAGAUGUGGCCACCGUUUAUGACCAAAGAGAGCACCCUGCCCUUCUACAGCCCUGAUGCUUGCCGGUCUAUGGAACUUGUUUACAAGCAGUCUGGCAGCUUUAAGGGGAUCCCAUCAUAUCGGUUUGUUGCUCCUAAGACCUUGUUUGCUAAUGGAAUGGAUUACGCUCCCAAUGAAGGCUUCUGUCCCUGCAGGCAGUCCGGUGUGCUCAACGUCAGCACCUGCCACCAUAACUCCCCGACCUUCAUCUCUCACCCUCACUUUUUGAAUGGUGAUCCGGUUCUACGAGAGUUUGUGUUGGGCCUUCAUCCCACUGAGGAGGAGCACGGUCUCUUCAUCGACAUCCAUCCGCUAACUGGUGUCCCUCUGAAUGUGUCCGUCCGCCUGCAGCUCAACCUCUACAUGAAGAGUGUGUCAGGAUUUACAGAAACAGGGAAGAUUUCUGAGGUGGUGAUGCCCAUGCUGUGGUUUGAGGAGAAAGGGUAUAUAGAUGGGCCAGCCCUCACCACAUUCCACACUAACCUGGUUGUUCUGCCUGCUGUGAUGGAGUACAUGCAGUACAUCUUCAUAGCUCUCGGUCUGGCAACAAUUAUUGUUGCCUCUCUGGUGCAUUACAAAGCAAAGAGCUCUAGACAUGUGUCUGUAAUCUCCACAGUCACAGAAAAACUUGAGAAUAAAGAUAAAUUCUGUAGAUUAAACAUGAAGUGUUAUCUGGUUAAACAAACAGGAAGCAUGGCAAACAACAUUUUAUUUACAGCACAUAAUAUGAUGAAUUGGAUUUCCUGUGUUUAAUGUCCACUGGGGGUAAAGAGAAAAUCACUGUAACAGAUGUACCCACCAGUUAUAUAGCAUGGCAUCAUCAUCAUCAGUAAGAUUCAUCUGUAUAUAUCAAUGAUGAGCAUUGCUGUCGAGAAUACCGACUUAUUCACUUGUUUUUAAAACAUUAAUCCCCACUUAUGACUUCAAUGCUUUUCACAACACACUUUAUUCAGUCAAUGCUAAUUAAUAUAUAAAAAUAUCAGCUUAACAAGUUGGUUUUGAAAUCACUGAAACCCAUGCACUGACUAACCAAUGCUUCAUAACAAAACAUUCUAAACAAGGUAGCGCUGCUGUAAACAUAAAUCCACCGUAUUAACAAGGGCUAAUGUUAGCAACAGUUUUCAAGUCAUUGUUUCAGAGGACGUUAAAGAACAGGAGGACAUCCCUGCGUUCAGCAGGAAGAAACACUUGUGAGACAAACAGAAGUCUCCAAAGCAGUAAGAUGGGAAACUAAAGAUGGGAACAGAUUUAAAGCCACUGAGAAAUUGAAUGAAACCAAUAAAUCUCUUAAAAUCACAUAUUUCUGUCCUGACGGAUUCUCUAAUGAUUUAUAUAUUUAUAAAUAAAGCAGCAUCAUAAUCCUGAAGAGAUCCAAUAAUCAGACAAUAAAUCAAACGCAUGUCUUUUAACUUGCAUGUUUGCCUUGAUUACCAAUAAUAUAAAAAAAUAACACAUACCCUCUAAACUACCAUAAUCUACCAUAACAAGAUGAAUGACAACAGCAAAUUCUUGUUUUGUAUUGUCUAAUUGGUGCAUGUGUAAGGUAGUUUGGUCAUCUUUUAGGCAACCGAUAAUGAGCAGGUUAAAGGCUCACAUGGCUAUGAAACUCAGGAGAAAAGUACGAGUUAAUCAGAGACAUGAACGUGAAAGCAACGCAGUAC